GAGGGGGGCAAGAGCAUGCAGGACUGCUAACCCUCCACCCUGUAGUCAAAUCCCACAGACCCU
Molecule: transfer RNA, 63 nt
Filed under: Pseudemoia entrecasteauxii
Lineage: Eukaryota; Metazoa; Chordata; Lepidosauria; Squamata; Scincidae
Description: partial tRNA-Ser
Source: RNAcentral